GCGCACGUGGCGAAAUUGGUAGACGCGCAGCCUUGAGGGGGCUGUAUUCGCAAGGAUGUGGAAGUUCGAAUCUUCUCGUGCGCA
This 84-nucleotide transfer RNA is filed under the name Polaribacter filamentus. RNAcentral's name for it is "tRNA-Leu". It matches the Rfam family "tRNA". From Rfam's summary of the family: Transfer RNA (tRNA) molecules are approximately 80 nucleotides in length. The record is from RNAcentral. Lineage: Bacteria; Pseudomonadati; Bacteroidota; Flavobacteriia; Flavobacteriales; Flavobacteriaceae.